Molecule: ribosomal RNA, 431 nt
Filed under: uncultured bacterium
Lineage: Bacteria
Description: partial 16S ribosomal RNA
Rfam family: Bacterial small subunit ribosomal RNA
Source: RNAcentral
AACGAACGCUGGCGGCAGGCUUAACACAUGCAAGUCGAGCGCACCGCAAGGUGAGCGGCCGACGGGUGAGUAACGCGUGGGAAUCUACCCAACCCUACGGAAUAACCCAGGGAAACUUGGACUAAUACCGUAUACGCCCUUUUGGGGAAAGAUUUAUCGGGGAUGGAUGAGCCCGCGUUGGGUUAGCUAGUUGGUGGGGUAAAGGCCUACCAAGGCGACGAUCCAUAGCUGGUCUGAGAGGAUGAUCAGCCACAUUGGGACUGAGACACGGCCCAAACUCCUACGGGAGGCAGCAGUGGGGAAUAUUGGACAAUGGGCGCAAGCCUGAUCCAGCCAUGCCGCGUGAGUGAUGAAGGCCUUAGGGUUGUAAAGCUCUUUCAGUAGGGAAGAUAAUGACGGUACCUACAGAAGAAGCCCCGGCUAACUUCGUG